RNAcentral lists this ribosomal RNA (497 nucleotides) under uncultured bacterium. RNAcentral's name for it is "partial 16S ribosomal RNA". It matches the Rfam family "Bacterial small subunit ribosomal RNA", at positions 28 to 507 of the family's 1533-position model. The record is from RNAcentral.
GACGAACGCUGGCGGCGUGCCUAAUACAUGCAAGUUGAGCGAUGAAGCUUGGUGCUUGCCCCAAUUUGAAGAGCAGCGAACGGGUGAGUAACGCGUGGGGAAUCUGCCUUUGAGCGGGGGACAACAUUUGGAAACGAAUGCUAAUACCGCAUAACAACUUUAAACAUAAGUUUUAAGUUUGAAAGAUGCAAUUGCAUCACUCAAAGAUGAUCCCGCGUUGUAUUAGCUAGUUGGUGAGGUAAAGGCUCACCAAGGCGAUGAUACAUAGCCGACCUGAGAGGGUGAUCGGCCACAUUGGGACUGAGACACGGCCCAAACUCCUACGGGAGGCAGCAGUAGGGAAUCUUCGGCAAUGGACGAAAGUCUGACCGAGCAACGCCGCGUGAGGGAAGAAGGGUUUCGGAUCGUAAAACUCUGUUGGUAGAGAAGAACGUUGGUGAGAGUGGAAAGCUCAUCAAGUGACGGUAACUACCCAGAAAGGGACGGCUAACUACGUG